RNAcentral lists this ribosomal RNA (460 nucleotides) under uncultured bacterium. RNAcentral's name for it is "bacterial SSU rRNA". It matches the Rfam family "Bacterial small subunit ribosomal RNA", at positions 28 to 496 of the family's 1533-position model. The record is from RNAcentral.
GAUGAACGCUGGCGGCGUGCUUAACACAUGCAAGUCGAACGGGAUCCCAGGAGCUUGCUCCUGGGUGAGAGUGGCGAACGGGUGAGUAAUGCGUGACCGACCUGCCCCAUACACCGGAAUAGCUCCUGGAAACGGGUGGUAAUGCCGGAUGCUCCAGUUGGAUGCAUGUCCUUCUGGGAAAGAUUCAUCGGUAUGGGAUGGGGUCGCGUCCUAUCAGCCUGAUGGCGGGGUAACGGCCCACCAUGGCUUCGACGGGUAGCCGGCCUGAGAGGGCGACCGGCCACAUUGGGACUGAGAUACGGCCCAGACUCCUACGGGAGGCAGCAGUGGGGAAUAUUGCACAAUGGGCGCAAGCCUGAUGCAGCGACGCCGCGUGCGGGAUGACGGCCUUCGGGUUGUAAACCGCUUUUGACUGGGAGCAAGCCCUUCGGGGUGAGUGUACCUUUCGAAUAAGCACCGG